UAUAUAUAUCGGAUAACAAAAAUAUCUUUAUAAAGUUCAACUUUCCAUAUUCAUCUCAGCAAAAGUCCAGUAAUAUUCAUAUUUUUUCCUCUGAUUAAUAAUCGAUAAGGUACUAUUUAUUUUUUAACAGGAGAUAUGUAAAACGAUAUUUUUAUCAUCAUAAAUUUUUUUCUCCAAAAGCCCCAUAGAAUUAUAUAGAAAUAUCCUUCAAAAAAUUUUCAACAAUUAUUUUUUUCUUUCUACCAUCACAAAUAAUAUGAAAUAGAUAAAAAAAAUAAUUUUUCUCAUUUACUAACAUGGAUUACUUAUUUUAUCUAUAGUUAACUAUAUUUUUCUAAUAGAUCCUAACAGCAAUGAUAUAUUUGAAAAUAUUAAAAUUUUAUAAAAAGUGAGGAAAAACUUCAAACACCAUCCUUGUGAUUUCGUACUUUCUUAUUUUAAUACCCUGUGGUUUAAAGUGUAUCAAUUUAAUACACUAUGAUUUUAUUUUUCUCUUUUUAUUAUCUCUUUCACUAACUUUUUUUUUGUUAAAUCAAUGACAAAGUUAAAACUAAAAAAUACUAAAGUGAAUAUUCGAUAAACGUAAGUGGGUAUCUGAAUUUUUUUGUAUAUAAUUUAACGAAAUGUUAACUGAGGAGUUGACGAAAAGAAAAAAAUGAAACCACAUGGUGCUAAAUUGACACACUUUAAACUAUAGAGUACUAAAGCGAGAAAGUACGAAACAAUAGAAAUAAUAUUUAAAGUUUACUCUAAAAUGAUAUUUAAAGAUUGCCCUAAACAUAAAUAUUAAAAAUUAAAUUUAUAAAAUUUAUAUAUAUAUUUAUAGGGAACUAUAAUGCAAUUAACACAUUUUCCCCAACAAGCGUACAAGUGCAAAACGAUCGAAAGUUGUGACUGUAAGGCUCUGUUUAGUUCGGAAAUUAGUAAGAACUAGUUAUACCGAAAAUAGAUACCAGGAUGGAUUUUUGUAAGAACAAAUGUAUUUUUUUUGGAUAAAAAUGUGAGUAUAAGCUGGAACUAGAAAAAUUAUGUUUGAAUGAAAAUGUGAGUAUAAGGUGGAAUAGUUGAUAGUUAUAAAUAAAAAAUAAUGAUAUUAUCCCUAUAAUUGAAUUUAAAUUUUUAAACUUAUAAAUUUAAAUUGAAAAUUUUAACUUUUAAAUUUUAAAAUUUGAAAUUAAAAUUUAAAAUUUUAAUUUUCAAAAUUUUAAUUUUAAAUAUUAAAUUUUAAAUUUAAGAUCAAAUUUAAAUUUGAAAAAUAUAAAAUAUCAAAUUUAAAAUUUAAAAACUAAAAAUAUUAAAUUUAAAAUUUAAAAAUUAAAAAUAUCAAAUUUAAAAUUUAAACUUUAAACUUUAAAAUUAUAAAUUUAAAUUUUAGAAAUUUAAAUUUUUUAAAAAAUAUUUCUCUCUCUC
Molecule: long non-coding RNA, 1410 nt
Filed under: Ananas comosus (pineapple)
Lineage: Eukaryota; Viridiplantae; Streptophyta; Magnoliopsida; Poales; Bromeliaceae
Description: long non-coding RNA (ACOM_LNC015970)
Source: RNAcentral